This is an RNA transcript of Cydia amplana, 1873 nucleotides long. It is a transcript of the gene named tropomodulin-1, with no coding region annotated. Lineage: Eukaryota; Metazoa; Arthropoda; Insecta; Lepidoptera; Tortricidae. The record is from RefSeq and is a predicted model, not a curated record. The transcript has 12 exons.
CUUAUACCUUACAUUAACAAACACGGAGGUCAUUUUUUUUCGGUUUAAAUAGAAAUGUGCUACGUGUGUGUGAAAAGUGAUCAGUGCGAUUGAUGUAUCAAAAAGGUUGUGAGCUUAGUGGUGUGGGUGAAUUAAUACAUAAAUAUGACGGAAGUCUUCGGAUCGUGGAACAAGCCCGAGGGCGAUGGAGAGGUGGAGGAGACCGAAGAAACCGUGGAAACGAUCACCACCACCACCACCAAGACAAAAAGGACAGUUCCACAAAAAUCGUCGUCGACGAAGACUACGACGAUGACGACGCCGGCCAAGCUGUUUGGACGCGAUUUGUCCAACUACGAUGAAGUGGACGUCGAUGAGCUAUUGGCUAAGCUGUCACAAGAGGAGCUGACUAUGCUCGCCAAGGAGGUUGAUCCUGAUGACAACUUCCUGCCCCCCGAUCAGCGCAACAAUUACGACUGUGAGAAGGACCCCACGGGACCCCUGAAUCGCAAGAAGUUAAUCGAGCACAUCAACAAACAGGCGCUCGAGACCCCAGACCGGCCCGAGGUCAAACCUUACGUGGCUGGUGUUGUCAGAGGGAAGAAGUGGAUCCCGCCGCCCCCGCCCGAACGGACGCGUGAAGCGGAUGAACAGAUCUCCAUCGACCUCGGCGAUGAGUACGAGCAGGCGUUGGGCACCGCGUCGCAGGAAGAAAUCAUUGACUUGGCUGCCAUUCUCGGCUUCCAUUCGAUGAUGAACCAGGACCAGUACCACGCGUCACUACUCAACAAGGGCCAGCCCGUCGGCCUCGGCUGGGAUGGCAUCACCAAAGCUACCAAGCAAAAGGUGUACCCCAUGGACCCCCCCAACGACACGGACCCGGACUCGACCAUCAAGAGCGUGCAGGACAACGACCAGAAGCUCACUGAUCUCAAUUGGAAUAAUAUUAAGAAUAUAAGCGACGAGAAAUUCGACAAGCUAUUCGAAGGCCUAAAGACCAACACACACCUCGAGGUCCUGAGCCUCGUGAACGUCGGCCUCACGGACCGCUCCGCUGCCCUAUUGGCCGCAGCCUUAGAUGCCAACACCGCGCUGCGAGUCGUCAACGUGGAGACCAACUUCAUCAGCCCCACUGGGGUCGUCCAGUUGGUCAAGGCGUUGCUGACUAAUAAUACUGUUGAGGAGUUCCGUGCCUCCAACCAGCGGUCGACGGUGCUUGGCAAUAAGAUCGAGAUGGAGAUAACGGCGCUGGUGGAACAGAACCCGACGCUGCUGCGGCUCGGCCUCCACCUCGAGUAUAGCGACGCGCGCCAUCGCGUCGCCUCGCAUCUGCAGCGCAACAUCGACCGGAAUUGCCGAUUACAAAAGCGCGCGAGCGCAUCCCUAAGCCUCCGGCUGCCGCGCGGGCCGCCCCCCGGCGUGGGGGUCGACUCCACCUUCUUCAACAUGACCCCGCCCAGCGCCGAGGCUGCCACGCCCACUGACCCCCCAGUCACCGAAACCGUAGAGGGGUCCGUCACUGUCGAAGCGAAACCCCCCGAUUUCGACACCUCGGAGCGAACCAUACCCGUCGAUUUGGAGUCUAACGAAGACAGAUUUGUGAGGGCGGAACGACCCGACUUUAACCCCAAUCCCCACUCCCGAGAGGGGAGCGUAGAACUGAAUGAUAAUUUUUAGAGAAAUGGCCACAAAAAUCGUACGCCAGCAGCGACGGAGCAAGACCAGCAACUAGAACCUUGAUCGAACCUUUUUGGUGGGCGCGUCCGCCGCGUGUCGCAGUUCACCCGGAGCCGCAGCUACGUGGUGGGCUGGAUCCCCUGAACUUGCUGCCACUGCCUACCUGCGCUCGCUGGCUACUAGGACCCAAGUGCUUGUGCGAAACAAUUCUUUUUCA